UAAGCUGGCGGCGUGCCUAACACAUGCAAGUCGUACGUUCUCUGGUGCUUCGGCACCGGAGGGAGUGGCGGACGGGUGAGUAACACAUGGGUGACCUACCCUUUGGUGAGGAAUACCGGCGAGAAAUCGCCGACAAGACCGCAUAGGCUCUCGCAGGAGAGCAAAGCCUCUGACUCGCAAGAGCCGGAGGUGCCAGAGGAUGGGCCUGUGGCCGAUUAGCUGGUUGGUGGGGUAAGGGCUCACCAAGGCGACGAUCGGUAGCUGGUCUGAGAGGACGAUCAGCCACACUGGGAUUGAGAACGGCCCAGACUCCUACGGGGGGCAGCAGUGAGGAAUUUUCCGCAAUGGAGGCAACUCUGACGGAGCAACGCCGCGUGCAGGACGACGCGUUUCGGCGUGUAAACUGCUUUUCUGGGGGACGAGGACGGACGGUACCCCAGGAAGAAGCCCCGGCUAACUACGUGCCAGCAGCCGCGGUAAUACGUAGGGGGCGAGCGUUGUCCGGAGUUACUGGGCGUAAAGGGCACGCA
Molecule: ribosomal RNA, 530 nt
Filed under: uncultured bacterium
Lineage: Bacteria
Description: bacterial SSU rRNA
Rfam family: Bacterial small subunit ribosomal RNA
Source: RNAcentral